GACGAACGCUGGCGGCGUGCUUAACACAUGCAAGUCGAACGGAAAGGCCUGCUUUCCCUUGUGGAUUGCGGGUACUCGAGUGGCGAACGGGUGAGUAACACGUGAGUGAUCUGCCCCCAACUUGGGUAUAAGCCUGGGAAACUGGGUCUAAUUCCCGAUAGGACUGCAGGGUGGUGCCUGUGGUGGAAAACGAUUUUCUAGUGGUUGGGGAUGAGCUCGCGGCCUAUCAGCUUGUUGGUGGGGUAAUGGCCUACCAAGGCGGCGACGGGUAGCCGGCCUGAGAGGGUGGACGGCCACAUUGGGACUGAGAUACGGCCCAGACUCCUACGGGAGGCAGCAGUGGGGAAUAUUGCACAAUGGGCGGAAGCCUGAAGCAGCGACGCUGCGUGGGGGAUGACGGCCUUCGGGUUGUAAACUCCUUUCGACCGCGAGGAAGCCACCUGGUUGGAAGGGUGGUGACGGUAGUGGUAGAAGAAGCACCGGCUAACUACGUG
This 494-nucleotide ribosomal RNA is filed under the name uncultured bacterium. RNAcentral describes it as "partial 16S ribosomal RNA". It matches the Rfam family "Bacterial small subunit ribosomal RNA", at positions 28 to 507 of the family's 1533-position model. The record is from RNAcentral.